CAGUAGCCGCGGUAAUACGUAGGUGGCAAGCGUUGUCCGGAAUUAUUGGGCGUAAAGGGCUCGCAGGCGGUUUCUUAAGUCUGAUGUGAAAGCCCCCGGCUCAACCGGGGAGGGUCAUUGGAAACUGGGAAACUUGAGUGCAGAUGAGGAGAGUGGAAUUCCACGUGUAGCGGUGAAAUGCGUAGAGAUGUGGAGGAACACCAGUGGCGAAGGCGACUCUCUGGUCUGUAACUGACGCUGAGGAGCGAAAGCGUGGGGAGCGAACAGGAUUAGAUACCCCUGUAGUCCCUGUCUCUUAUAC
This 301-nucleotide ribosomal RNA is filed under the name uncultured bacterium. RNAcentral's name for it is "partial 16S ribosomal RNA". It matches the Rfam family "Bacterial small subunit ribosomal RNA", at positions 509 to 807 of the family's 1533-position model. The record is from RNAcentral.